RNAcentral lists this ribosomal RNA (492 nucleotides) under uncultured bacterium. Its description in RNAcentral is "partial 16S ribosomal RNA". It matches the Rfam family "Bacterial small subunit ribosomal RNA", at positions 29 to 507 of the family's 1533-position model. The record is from RNAcentral.
AGUGAACGCUGGCGGUAUGCCUAACACAUGCAAGUCGAACGGCAGCACAGUAAGAGCUUGCUCUUACGGGUGGCGAGUGGCGGACGGGUGAGGAAUACAUCGGAAUCUACUUUUUCGUGGGGGAUAACGUAGGGAAACUUACGCUAAUACCUCAUACGACCUACGGGUGAAAGCAGUGGAUCUUCGGACCUUGCGCGAUUGAAUGAGCCGAUGUCGGAUUAGCUAGUUGGCGGGGUAAAGGCCCACCAAGGCGACGAUCCGUAGCUGGUCUGAGAGGAUGAUCAGCCACACUGGAACUGAGACACGGUCCAGACUCCUACGGGAGGCAGCAGUGGGGAAUAUUGGACAAUGGGCGCAAGCCUGAUCCAGCCAUACCGCGUGAGUGAAGAAGGUCUUCGGGUUGUAAAACCCUUUUGUUGGGAAAGAAAAGCAGUAGGUGAAUACCCCGCUGUUCUGACGGUACCCAAAGAAUAAGCAACGGCUAACUUCGUG